AUUGAACGCUGGCGGCAGGCCUAACACAUGCAAGUCGAGCGGAUGAAGGGAGCUUGCUCCUGGAUUCAGCGGCGGACGGGUGAGUAAUGCCUAGGAAUCUGCCUGGUAGUGGGGGAUAACGUCCGGAAACGGGCGCUAAUACCGCAUACGUCCUGAGGGAGAAAGUGGGGGAUCUUCGGACCUCACGCUAUCAGAUGAGCCUAGGUCGGAUUAGCUAGUUGGUGGGGUAAAGGCCUACCAAGGCGACGAUCCGUAACUGGUCUGAGAGGAUGAUCAGACACCCUGGAACUGAGACACGGUCGCGACUCCUACGGUAAGCAGCGGUGGGGACUCUUGCACAAUGGGCGAAAGCCUGAUCCAGCCAUGCCGCGUGUGUGAAGAAGGUCUUCGGAUUGUAAAGCACUUUAAGUUGUGAGGAAGGGCAGUAAGUUAAUCCCUUGCUGUUUUGACGUUACCAACAGAAUAAGCACCGGCUAACUUCGUG
Molecule: ribosomal RNA, 484 nt
Filed under: uncultured bacterium
Lineage: Bacteria
Description: partial 16S ribosomal RNA
Rfam family: Bacterial small subunit ribosomal RNA
Source: RNAcentral